This is a long non-coding RNA of Cyprinodon tularosa, 341 nucleotides long. RefSeq lists it as uncharacterized. The record is from RefSeq and is a predicted model, not a curated record. The transcript is spliced from 3 exons. Lineage: Eukaryota; Metazoa; Chordata; Actinopteri; Cyprinodontiformes; Cyprinodontidae.
GCCUGCCCUUCUGUUGCUGCUGACUUCAUCCUCCUCCUCAACAAGCACAGCAUUUUGCUUCCACGCCGAGUUAAAUUUGCUCUAAUUAGAAGAUUUGAUGCCAAAUCAGAAAAGCAAUCAGGAUGAGGCGACCCUGCUGAAGCUAGAAAUGGAUGAGCAACCUAAGUGUGACGUUUUAGAGGAACAAAUGGAGGACAAACCGGAUUUUCAGAUCAAACUGUCGGCUGAUGGAGCAUCGCGUGCACAGACCAGCUUUGCAGUACUGUACAUCCCUGCUGCUUUCCUCCAUUGUUGCUGCUGCCUCCAUGGGGCGGCUUUCAUGUUGGAGUUCAGUCAAGCGA